RNAcentral lists this ribosomal RNA (234 nucleotides) under uncultured bacterium. RNAcentral describes it as "partial 16S ribosomal RNA". It matches the Rfam family "Bacterial small subunit ribosomal RNA", at positions 118 to 347 of the family's 1533-position model. The record is from RNAcentral.
UGAGCAACCUGCCCUUGACCCUGGAAUAACAGCUGGAAACAACUGCUAAUACCGGAUACGACCUCCGAUGGCAUCAUCUGGAGGUGGAAAGCUCCGACGGUCAAGGAUGGGCUCGCGGCCUAUCAGCUUGUUGGUGAGGUAACGGCUCACCAAGGCUUCGACGGGUAGCCGGCCUGGAGGAGGGCGACCGGCCACACUGGGACUGAGAUACGGCCCAGACUCCGUACGGGAGCA